This is a long non-coding RNA of Gopherus evgoodei (Goodes thornscrub tortoise), 473 nucleotides long. RefSeq lists it as uncharacterized. NCBI's taxonomy places the organism in Eukaryota, Metazoa, Chordata, Testudines, Testudinidae. The record is from RefSeq and is a predicted model, not a curated record. The transcript is spliced from 4 exons.
AGACCCGCGCGGGCGGCCGUUGGCCGGGCUGCGCGUUCCCGCGCCUGCCGAGGGGAGGGUGGCGCGCGCUGCCCCUUACCGGCCAUCACGCGCUUUAAUCUCAGGUUAGUCUGGUGCCAGUGGAACGGGCCAGUCCCGGCAGGACCACCCCACGGAUGGGCCUCAGGCAGCCCCGCUUGGAGGCGGGCGAGAAGCAUCCGGCCCUUCUGCAGGAGGAGGAAGAGAAGAGUUUGAAAAUAGUCCCUCCUUAAAGCUAAAAGCUUAUAUGGAUAAAACUGUGCCUACUAAACAAUGGCAUCUUAUAGUAAAAAAUCCAUGGCAAAUGUGCAGCUGCUUAAUGACAGUGACUGCUAAUAAGAGCAGUGUUCUCAACGAAAAUAUACGCUGGCUGCUUCUAGCAAGAUCUGCACAUUCUGCAGGAAAGUGUUGAUCUUUUCCAUGGAGUCCCCACUACUGCUGAAAAUGUCACUGAA